CAAUAGCGUAUAUUUAAGUUGCUGCAGUUAAAAAGCUCGUAGUUGGAUUUCGGGUGGGAAUGGCCGGUCCGCCGUUUCGGUGUGCACUUGCUACGCCCACCUUGCUGCCGGGGACGUGCUCUUGAGUUCACGCUCGGGACACGGAGUCGGCGAGGCUACUUUGAGUAAAUUAGAGUGUUCAAAGCAGGCCUACGCUCUGAAUACAUUAGCAUGGAAUAACACGAUAGGACUCUGGCUUAUCUUGUUGGUCUGUGAGACCAGAGUAAUGAUUAAGAGGGACAGUCGGGGACAUUCGUAUUUCAUUGUCAGAGGUGUAAUUCUUGGAUUUAUGAAAGACGAACUUCUGCGAAAGCAUUUGUCAAGGAUGUUUUCAUUAA
Molecule: ribosomal RNA, 377 nt
Filed under: uncultured eukaryote
Lineage: Eukaryota
Description: partial 18S ribosomal RNA
Rfam family: Eukaryotic small subunit ribosomal RNA
Source: RNAcentral